Non-coding RNA from Camelina sativa (false flax), 192 nucleotides. The record is from RefSeq and is a predicted model, not a curated record. NCBI's taxonomy places the organism in Eukaryota, Viridiplantae, Streptophyta, Magnoliopsida, Brassicales, Brassicaceae.
GAAACAAAGAAAAAAUUAAACACAAAACAGAGUUGUUGAGUCUAGCUAAAAACAAAAGAGCCGAAUUUACAUAUAUAAAGUCGUUGAGUAUUAAGACUUUGCGGUCUUACAAUUACUCAAGAAGCAGAGAUUAAGUCAAAAUCUCUCCCAAAUUAUAUCUCCUUAUGCAAAAUAGAGCUACAUAAAAAAAAA